Parelaphostrongylus tenuis is the source of this 75-nucleotide non-coding RNA. The record is from the annotation of a GenBank genome assembly. NCBI's taxonomy places the organism in Eukaryota, Metazoa, Nematoda, Chromadorea, Rhabditida, Metastrongylidae.
GCGCCGGUAGUGCAACAGGUUAGAGCACACUCUUUCGGAUAGAGUGAGAUACGGGUUCAGGUCCCGCUUGACGCA